UCAAAUCGCUACAAAUGUUCAUUUUUUAGCGAAUAAAAAAAUUAAAUCACCAAAAUUUGUGAUUAAAAUUUUGUUCAGGGUCCUUUUUUUUUGUAAUGAGAAUAUGGAAUCGAUUCGACUCAAAUAACCUGUGAACCUAUGGUAUUUGAAUCUAAAUUCGGAUAAAUUUCUAUGGAAAAUCCAAAUUCAGAUAACUUUUAAAAAAAAAUCUUUAUAUAGGUCUAGAUAAUUGGAAUAAUUGGAAUGGACAUGUAUAUAGAUCUAGAUAAAUCUCAUACAGUUUUAACAUAGUACGUUCGUUCAGGGGAGAGAACCCACACUGUCAUAAAUGAUAAUAUUGCAUGUGCGAGAACAAAGAUGACAACAUUAAACAAUUAUUGAUAUCGAUGUGGCGCCAUGGCGGUGUCUAUUACCUUCGACCAAUUUCUUUUUCCGACAGCGAUGUCGGCGGCGUCGAUCGACGUUAUCGAUUCAAGAAACACAUGUUGGAUAUACUCUAAUACGAAGCUUUUUAAAUGAAUUUGGAUUGCCCUUUAAUUUAUUAUGACAUUACUCGAAAAUAGAAAAUUUAU
RNAcentral lists this long non-coding RNA (572 nucleotides) under Zostera marina. Its description in RNAcentral is "long non-coding RNA (ZMAR_LNC001949)". The record is from RNAcentral. Lineage: Eukaryota; Viridiplantae; Streptophyta; Magnoliopsida; Alismatales; Zosteraceae.